Molecule: ribosomal RNA, 708 nt
Filed under: uncultured bacterium
Lineage: Bacteria
Description: bacterial SSU rRNA
Rfam family: Bacterial small subunit ribosomal RNA
Source: RNAcentral
CGAGGGGCAGCGGGGUAGUGCUUGCACUACUGCCGGCGACCGGCGCACGGGUGAGUAACACGUAUGGAACCUGCCCGCAGCAGGGGGAUAAGCGGGAGAAAUUCCGUCUAAUACCGCGUAAGAACGUUGGGAGGCAUCUCCCGAUGUUUAAAGAUUUAUCGGCUGCGGAUGGCCAUGCGGCGCAUUAGCUAGUCGGCGGGGUAACGGCCCACCGAGGCGACGAUGCGUAGGGGUUCUGAGAGGAAGGUCCCCCACACUGGUACUGAGACACGGACCAGACUCCUACGGGAGGCAGCAGUGAGGAAUAUUGGUCAAUGGCCGAGAGGCUGAACCAGCCAAGUCGCGUGAGGGAAGACGGCCCUACGGGUUGUAAACCUCUUUUGUCGGGGAGCAAAGCGAACCACGUGUGGUUCAUUGAGAGUACCCGAAGAAAAAGCAUCGGCUAACUCCGUGCCAGCAGCCGCGGUAAUACGGAGGAUGCGAGCGUUAUCCGGAUUUAUUGGGUUUAAAGGGUGCGCAGGCGGAGGUGCAAGUCAGCGGUCAAAUUGCGGGGCUCAACCCCGUACUGCCGUUGAAACUGCAUCCCUUGAGUGCGCGAGAAGUAUGCGGAAUGCGUGGUGUAGCGGUGAAAUGCAUAGAUAUCUCGGGGAACUCCGAUUGCGAAGGCAGCAUACCGGCGCGCAACUGACGCUCAUGCACGAAAGCGUG